GAGUUUGAUCGUGGCUCAGAACGAACGCUGGCGGCGUGCUUAACACAUGCAAGUCGAGCGAGAAAGGGCUUCGGCCCGAGUACAGCGGCGAACGGGUGCGUAACACGUGGGUAAUCUGCCUUCAGGCCCGGGAUAACCUUUCGAAAGGAGGGCUAAUACCGGAUGAGCUGGCGGAAUCUUUGGAUUCUGCCGGAAAAGGUGGCCUCUAUUUAUAAGCUACUUCCUGAAGAUGAGCCCGCGGCCCAUCAGCUAGUUGGCGGGGUAACGGCCCACCAAGGCUACGACGGGUAGCUGGUCUGAGAGGACGAUCAGCCACACUGGGACUGAGACACGGCCCAGACUCCUACGGGAGGCAGCAGUGGGGAAUAUUGGACAAUGGGGGCAACCCUGAUCCAGCAAUGCCGCGUGUGUGAAGAAGGCCUUC
RNAcentral lists this ribosomal RNA (424 nucleotides) under uncultured delta proteobacterium. RNAcentral describes it as "bacterial SSU rRNA". It matches the Rfam family "Bacterial small subunit ribosomal RNA", at positions 9 to 419 of the family's 1533-position model. Lineage: Bacteria; Deltaproteobacteria. The record is from RNAcentral.